Molecule: ribosomal RNA, 1502 nt
Filed under: uncultured rumen bacterium
Lineage: Bacteria
Description: bacterial SSU rRNA
Rfam family: Bacterial small subunit ribosomal RNA
Source: RNAcentral
AGAGUUUGAUCCUGGCUCAGGACGAACGCUGGCGGCGUGCCUAACACAUGCAAGUCGAGCGGAGACAUGCGACGGAAGUGAAGUUUUCGGAUGGAACAGAAGAUGUAUGUUUUAGCGGCGGACGGGUGAGUAACGCGUGAACAAUCUGUCCUUCACAGGGGGAUAACACAGCGAAAGUUGUACUAAUACCGCAUGAGACCACAGUGCCGCAUGGUACAGGGGUCAAAGGAGCAAUCCGGUGAAGGGUGAGUUCGCGUCCGAUUAGAUAGUUGGUGAGGUAACGGCCCACCAAGUCGACGAUCGGUAGCCGACCUGAGAGGGUGAUCGGCCACAUUGGGACUGAGACACGGCCCAAACUCCUACGGGAGGCAGCAGUGGGGAAUAUUGGGCAAUGGGGGAAACCCUGACCCAGCAACGCCGCGUGAGGGAAGAAGGUUUUCGGAUCGUAAACCUCUGUCCUAGGUGAAGAGAAAGAGACGGUAGCCUAGGAGGAAGCCCCGGCUAACUACGUGCCAGCAGCCGCGGUAAUACGUAGGGGGCGAGCGUUGUCCGGAAUGAUUGGGCGUAAAGGGCGCGUAGGCGGCCCGGUAAGUCUGGAGUGAAAGUCCUGCUUUUAAGGUGGGAAUUGCUUUGGAUACUGUCGGGCUUGAGUGCAGGAGAGGUAAGUGGAAUUCCCAGUGUAGCGGUGAAAUGCGUAGAGAUUGGGAGGAACACCAGUGGCGAAGGCGACUUACUGGACUGUAACUGACGCUGAGGCGCGAAAGUGUGGGGAGCAAACAGGAUUAGAUACCCUGGUAGUCCACACUGUAAACGAUGAAUGCUAGGUGUAGGGGGUAUCGACCCCUUCUGUGCCGCAGUAAACACAAUAAGCAUUCCGCCUGGGGAGUACGGCCGCAAGGUUGAAACUCAAAGGAAUUGACGGGGGCCCGCACAAGCAGCGGAGCAUGUGGUUUAAUUCGAAGCAACGCGAAGAACCUUACCAGGGCUUGACAUCCUCUGACCGCUCUAGAGAUAGAGUUUCCCUUCGGGGCAGAGAGACAGGUGGUGCAUGGUUGUCGUCAGCUCGUGUCGUGAGAUGUUUGGUUAAGUCCAAUAACGAGCGCAACCCCUAUGGUCAGUUGCCAUCAUUUAGUUGGGCACUCUGGCAAGACUGCCGCGGACAACGCGGAGGAAGGAGGGGACGACGUCAAAUCAUCAUGCCCCUUAUGUCCUGGGCUACACACGUAAUACAAUGGCAACGACAGAGGGCAGCUAAGCCGCGAGGCCGAGCAAAUCCCCAAACGUUGUCCCAGUUCGGACUGCAGGCUGCAACCCGCCUGCACGAAGUCGGAAUUGCUAGUAAUGGCAGGUCAGCAUACUGCCGUGAAUACGUUCCCGGGCCUUGUACACACCGCCCGUCACACCAUGAGAGUCUGCAAUACCCGAAGUCAGUAGCCUAACCGCAAGGAGGGCGCUGCCGAAGGUAGGGCCGAUAAUUGGGGUGAAGUCGUAACAAGGUAACC